Molecule: ribosomal RNA, 253 nt
Filed under: uncultured bacterium
Lineage: Bacteria
Description: partial 16S ribosomal RNA
Rfam family: Bacterial small subunit ribosomal RNA
Source: RNAcentral
UACGAGUGCCUCAAGCGUUAUCCGGAAUCAUUGGGCGUAAAGGUUGUGUAGGUGGUUGUAUUAGUCUCUUGUUAAAUUCUUCGGCUUAACCGGGGGCAUGCAAGGGAAACGGUACGACUCGAGGAUGCGAGGGGUCUGCGGAACUCAUAGUGUAGCGGUGAAAUGCGUUGAUAUUAUGGGGAACACCAAAAGCGAAGGCAGCAGACUGGAGCACUCCUGACACUGAAACAAGAAAGCGUGGGUCGCGAAUGGG